Gymnodraco acuticeps is the source of this 1137-nucleotide long non-coding RNA. RefSeq lists it as uncharacterized. The record is from RefSeq and is a predicted model, not a curated record. Lineage: Eukaryota; Metazoa; Chordata; Actinopteri; Perciformes; Bathydraconidae. The transcript has 3 exons.
UCAGAUUCACAAAAGAGAAAACAACGCCACACCUUGCUGCUUUUCACUCGAUACCUGUGAGUUUUAGAAAUUAUAUUAACAGAUUACUGCCUUUUUAAAGCCUAUUUAUUUGGAAUCUACCAACCGUGAGCCUGAUCGCUGCUUGACAUCCUCUUAUUCUGCCUCCUUAACUUGUCUAUCUUUGAGUAUCAUUGAGUGACCGCACCCUUCAUGAAAAACUUUAAAGGUCUUAAGGUAAGUUAUUAUCUUAUGGCUUUUCUUCACAGCGUUUGCUGUUAAUGUUUUAAUCAACUAAAUGUUUUGCUUAUUUUAUUUUUUAUUCUCAGUGCCUACAUUUUUUUCAUAAAACCAGUCAGGCCAGUUUCACGGUAUUAAAGGAGUGUCAUUUAGAGCUGAAAUAAUUUUAGUUUCAGGACAGUAUACACUUUCCUCUGAGGGAGUUUAACAUGAGUGGACGAGGAUGAAAUGUGUCGUGUUUCUGGGGGUUCUGACCUUUCUGCAGAGUCUUGCCAGAGGAGUUGUUGCAGAGGAAGGAGGUAUCCUGUGUUUUCAAUGAGAGCUGCAUUUUACAACCGUGCAUCUUUGAGGUUAAUCCCGGGGAUUUGGUGGGUCAUCCACUGGAAUCAGGUUCAACAGGAUACACUCAAGUCCACUCUUUUUAUAACCGCAAAAAUGACCAAUUUGAGUACCAGGACCCACGCUUCAAAGGCAGGACGGCACUGUUCAGGAUCUGAUUUUUGGAGGAAACGUGUCGCUGAAACUGGAAAGAGUGGAGAUUCCAGAUGAAGGCACAUACAGAUGCUACGCCACAUUGAAGGAGGCAGCUCUCAUCAUGAGGCACACAUAAAACUAAAAGUGGACGCUCCAGUUCUUAAAGUGGACAUUCAGCAAGCAGAAAAUAAGACCACCUGCAGCUCAGAGGGAAUCUACCCUGAGCCUCAGCUCACCUGGUCCAUUGACCCCCCGCCCAACGAGAACCCUCCACAACAAAACCACGGUCCCUCAGACUGAGCAGAAGCUGUAUAAUUCAGCAGUUCUCUGAACGUCAAAGUUACUGAUGUGACCUACAACUGCAACCGUCAGCACGCGCAGAAACAAAGAUGGCAGCCACUUUGUUUAAGGCAAAGUAAGUGUUGC